This 1125-nucleotide long non-coding RNA is filed under the name Gallus gallus (chicken). RNAcentral describes it as "lncRNA (ENSGALG00010023628.1)". The record is from RNAcentral. Lineage: Eukaryota; Metazoa; Chordata; Aves; Galliformes; Phasianidae.
CGGAGCCCGGCACUUACCUGGCGCUGCCUCCCGGCCGCUCCGGCGGUCCCGCGCCGCGCGCCCGAUCACCACGGGGUGUUUUGGGGUUGUUUGUUUUUUUUUUUAGAAAGCCCAGAAGCGAAGCGUCCCUUCCUCCAGGUAUGUAUAUAAGUUACUGUACUGUGUGGGAGGGUCACGAUCUCGCUAGGUGCAGAAGAUUCCCCGGGAUUAACCCCUCCUCUCCCUUCCCCUCCUGCAACUUGUUGAGGAUGGCACCGCGCGCGCACGCGGAGCGGCACACGGCCGCACGCACACACACGCGGAGCGCGGCGCGGGAGCGGUCCGGUGCCCCCGACGGCGCGGUGAUUGGCCGCGCUGCUCGUGGAGAAGGGGACGUCUCAAGUCGAAGUCACGAUUUCUCCUCAGUUUGGAACCAUCUGUGACUGGAGCCAUGACGCAGCCAGAGCACAUUACUCACUUUUACAGUCACGACUUGGAAAUCCGUGCAGUUUCCAACCAAAAUUACACCGCCACCAUUGAAUUAUUUAAUAGGAUCCAGUUAAGGGGUGAUUCCCCUUUCUGCAAGAAUUCCCUGUCUCCGGGCUCCGUGCAUGCAGCAAAUGCGUUAUGGAGACGAGCGGAGCCCCCUCGCCUUAAAGAAAAGUAGAAAGGGAGCAAAACGGAGGGAUCCGAGCAUGCAGAAAGGAAAGACGAGACUCACGGCCGCUGGCUGCAGCAUGCACAGGAAAGAUCGCUACUUACCGAGCGGGAACUCCUCGGACAGGAGUUGGAAAAAAAUACUGCGGUGAUGUCCAGGUUUUCUUCCACCCGCGCUCGCUUUUUAUACAAGUGCAACCCUCUGUCUAUUUCUGGAACGCGAUCAAAACCCUGAUGCUAUUUUUAGCAGUGUCUUUGUAAAGUGGGCUUGGGAGAAAACACAACAACCACCAUGCACCACUUGGCCAUUGUGCACAAACGUGGGUUUCAGGCGGGGAUGCUUUGCCGGGAGACUGAGGUGGCUCCAUACGGUGAAUUGCACCCAGCACAAAGAAGGGCUGCUGGGGUUUUUUGUUUUUUUUUUUUUUGUUUUUUUAAUUCUCUCCUCGCCCCCUGCCUUUCUCCCCCUUAAAAAAAUACCAUCCUUUG